Musca domestica (house fly) is the source of this 276-nucleotide long non-coding RNA. RefSeq lists it as uncharacterized. NCBI's taxonomy places the organism in Eukaryota, Metazoa, Arthropoda, Insecta, Diptera, Muscidae. The record is from RefSeq and is a predicted model, not a curated record. The transcript is spliced from 2 exons.
UUUAUUUAAUCAAUGACCAAUAAAUUGUUGAAAUAAUUUAUGUAGGUGGUUGGUAUUGCUUAUAAAGUUUCACACCUAUUUGAAAUUUAAAAUAAUAACAGCUUAAAAUCAGAUUUGAAAUCACUCGACGAACAAAAAUGAUGUCGCCCAACUUUCUUCAAGGAAUAUUCGGCAUGGAUGGAGAUUUCAAUGGGGAAGAAGAUGACGGCGAUGAUGAUGGAACAGCUGUCGUUGGUUUAUUCUGUAUUAAAUGACAGAGACGUCGAACACCAAUCU